Molecule: ribosomal RNA, 305 nt
Filed under: uncultured bacterium
Lineage: Bacteria
Description: bacterial SSU rRNA
Rfam family: Bacterial small subunit ribosomal RNA
Source: RNAcentral
CAUCCCCUAGGGGCGCAGCAGUGGGGGAUAUUGCACAAUGGGGGAAACCCUGAUGCAGCGACGCCGCGUGAGCGAUGAAGUAUUUCGGUAUGUAAAGCUCAAUCAGCAGGGAAGAAAAUGACGGUACCUGACUAAGAAGCCCCGGCUAACUACGUGCCAGCAGCCGCGGUAAUACGUAGGGGGCAAGCGUUAUCCGGAUUUACUGGGUGUAAAGGGAGCGUAGACGGCAGUGCAAGUCUGAAGUGAAAGGCAAGGGCUCAACCCUUGGACUGCUUUGGAAACUGUGCUGCUGGAGUGUCGGAGAG